Sinocyclocheilus grahami is the source of this 374-nucleotide long non-coding RNA. RefSeq lists it as uncharacterized. The transcript is spliced from 3 exons. NCBI's taxonomy places the organism in Eukaryota, Metazoa, Chordata, Actinopteri, Cypriniformes, Cyprinidae. The record is from RefSeq and is a predicted model, not a curated record.
CAGAAGAACAGUCAGUCCUGUUUCCCGAGUUUUAGAAUCACAGAAAACAACAAAGCUAGGGAAUCAGUCCAACUUCUGCAGUUCAGACAUGAAACUGUAAGAGAGGACAGCUUGCUCUAUCAGCUGUUGUGUGCUUCAGGCUGCUGCUGAUGGAGAGAGCACCAGAGGCUCGUGCUGCCACCUGCUGGAAGAACAAAGAAAUACAGACGUACUCAACUCCACACUGCUGCUCCUUCUGCCCAAAAACCACCAACUUAGACAACAAUUCUCCAGGGUGCAUGAAUGAGAAAUCUCAUAAAGGUUACUGCUGAUGUAGCCAGUAUGCAGGACAGCUGAUUAGGGUUCUCAUCAGUUAUUGACGGGUUAUUGUGUGG